GGGGGAUAUUGCACAAUGGGCGAAAGCCUGAUGCAGCGACGCCGCGUGAGGGAAGACGGCCUUCGGAUUGUAAACCUCUGUCUUCAGGGACGAAAAAUGACGGUACCUGAGGAGGAAGCUCCGGCUAACUACGUGCCAGCAGCCGCGGUAAUACGUAGGGAGCGAGCGUUGUCCGGAAUUACUGGGUGUAAAGGGAGCGUAGGCGGGAUCGCAAGUCAGAUGUGAAAACUAUGGGCUUAACCCAUAAACUGCAUUUGAAACUGUGGUUCUUGAGUGAAGUAGAGGUAAGCGGAAUUCCUAGUGUAGCGGUGAAAUGCGUAGAUAUUAGGAGGAACAUCAGUGGCGAAGGCGGCUUACUGGGCUUUAACUGACGCUGAGGCUCGAAAGCGUGGGGAGCAAACAGGAUUAGAUACCCUGGUAGUCCACGCCGUAAACGAUGAUUACUAGGUGUGGGGGGACUGACCCCUUCCGUGCCGCAGCAAACGCAAUAAGUAAUCCACCUGGGGAGUACGACCGCAAGGUUGAAACUCAAAGGAAUUGACGGGAACCCGCACAAGCGGUGGAGCAUGUGGUUUAAUUCGAAGCAACGCGAAGAACCUUACCAAGUCUUGACAUCCCGUUGACCUGUUAUGUAAUGUAACAUCUCUUCGGAGCAACGGAGACAGGUGGUGCAUGGUUGUCGUCAGCUCGUGUCGUGAGAUGUUGGGUUAAGUCCCGCAACGAGCGCAACCCUUGUCCUUAGUAGCCAGCAGUAAGAUGGGCACUCUAGGGAGACUGCCGGGGAUAACUCGGAGGAAGGUGGGGACGACGUCAAAUCAUCAUGCCCCUUAUGACUUGGGCUACACACGUGCUACAAUGGCGUAAACAAAGGGAAGCAAACCUGUGAAGGCAAGCAAAUCCCAAAAAUAACGUCUCAGUUCGGAUUGUAGUCUGCAACUCGACUACAUGAAGCUGGAAUCGCUAGUAAUCGCAGAUCAGAAUGCUGCGGUGAAUACGUUCCCG
Molecule: ribosomal RNA, 1002 nt
Filed under: uncultured bacterium
Lineage: Bacteria
Description: bacterial SSU rRNA
Rfam family: Bacterial small subunit ribosomal RNA
Source: RNAcentral